This 440-nucleotide ribosomal RNA is filed under the name uncultured bacterium. RNAcentral's name for it is "partial 16S ribosomal RNA". It matches the Rfam family "Bacterial small subunit ribosomal RNA", at positions 338 to 795 of the family's 1533-position model. The record is from RNAcentral.
CCUACGGGCGACUGCAGUGGGGAAUAUUGCACAAUGGGGGCAACCCUGAUGCAGCAACGCCGCGUGAGUGAAGAAGUAUUUCGGUUUGUAAAGCUCUAUCAGCAGGGAAGAGAAUGACGGUACCUGACUAGGAAGCCCCGGCUAACUACGUGCCAGCAGCCGCGGUAAUACGUAGGGGGCGAGCGUUAUCCGGAUUUACUGGGUGUAAAGGGAGCGUAGACGGUUUUGCAAGUCAGAAGUGAAAGCCCGGGGCUUAACCGGGGAACGGCUUUGGAAACUGUGGAACUGGAGUGCAGGAGAGGCAAGCGGAAUUCCUAGUGUAGCGGUGAAAUGCGUAGAUAUUAGGAGGAACACCAGUGGCGAAGGCGGCUUGCUGGACAGUAACUGACGUUGAGGCUCGAAAGCGUGGGGAGCAAACAGGAUUAGAUACCCGAGUAGUC